Molecule: ribosomal RNA, 966 nt
Filed under: Triticum aestivum (bread wheat)
Lineage: Eukaryota; Viridiplantae; Streptophyta; Magnoliopsida; Poales; Poaceae
Description: partial small subunit ribosomal RNA
Source: RNAcentral
AUGAGGCAUGGGGCUCUCCGAUCCCUGGCAGAGGAGCGAGAGCAGCUCUCCGAGGCGCGGAAAGCCUUCCUUCUCGAGAAGGCCGAAGUCGAAGAGCAACAGCGUCUUGCCGGUGAGAAGCUGUUUGCGCAGGAAGGCGAGCUGGCGCAGCGGAAAGUCAAUCUUGACAGCCACGAGGAGGAACUUGCCACGCACGGGCAAUCGAUCGGCGGGGCUCUCCAGGAAGCAAAGGACGCAGCCGCAGCUACCGAGGCCGCCAAGAAGGAGCUGGAGGUGAAGGUGGUGCAGCUGGAGGCCGACCUCAAAGCGGGCGGCGAGGAGCUGGCCGCGCUCAAGCUUGAGCGCGAGAAGGAUGCCGCCGCUCAUGGUGAGCUGCAGGGUCUCCUUGCCGAGAGGAACAAAGAGCUUAGCACCGCCAAGGAUUCCAACACUGAUCUCGAGCUGAAGCUGGCCACCUUAACCCAGACACUGGACGGGGCCAGGGAGCGGGAGGCGGCCUUGGCGGAGAAGGUCAAAGCCAACGAGGCGUUGCUGGCAAGUGCUGCCGCCACCCAGAACACCUUCAGGGAGAACAUGGAGCACUGGACGGAGGGCCUCGUGGAUGUUGCCGCCACCAUCGACGGGGAGCUGGCGCAGCUGGGAAUGGAGGAUCUUGGGUACUCCUCCGACGAGCGUCUCAAACCCAGCGCCAAGCUCAGCCUGUUCUUCAAGGGCGUGGCGACGGUGCUCCAGCGACUCCGGGAGAGGAUCCCAAAGCAGCUGGCCGACGAGUCGCGCAAGAUCUGCGCGGGAGCUCUUCAGAAGAUGCUGGUGAAGGUGGCCUUCCGCAACCCAGGCCUCAACCUCACCAACGUCCUCCGGUCCUUGCCAGCGGAUGCCGAUCUGGAGGCACUCAAGGCCCUUGUCGCACCCAUUGUGGACAAGGUGAGCGGGAUCAAGAGGGUCGAGGGCGACCGCGUAGACUAG